Molecule: ribosomal RNA, 1508 nt
Filed under: Osphronemus exodon (elephant ear gourami)
Lineage: Eukaryota; Metazoa; Chordata; Actinopteri; Anabantiformes; Osphronemidae
Description: partial 16S ribosomal RNA
Rfam family: Bacterial large subunit ribosomal RNA
Source: RNAcentral
CACCCAACAGCUAGCCCCCCAACCAAAAAACAAUAAACCAUUAUCAAUACCCCUAAAUACACAAACACUUACACUAAACAAACCAUUUUUCCCCCCAAGUAUGGGCGACAGAAAAGGAAUUCAGGAGCAAUAGAGAAAGUACCGCAAGGGAACGCUGAAAGAGAAAUGAAAUAAACCAGUAAAGUUUAAAAAAGCAGAGACUUAAACUCGUACCUUUUGCAUCAUGAUUUAGCUAGUAAACUCCAAGCAAAGAGCACUUUAGUUUGCCUCCCCGAAACUAAGUGAGCUACUCCAAGACAGCCUAUAAUUAGGGCCAACCCGUCUCUGUGGCAAAAGAGUGGGAAGAGCUUCGAGUAGAGGUGACAAACCAACCGAACUUAGUCAUAGCUGGUUGCCUGAGAACUGGAUAGAAGUUCAGCCUCUCGGCUUCUCCCUUCACUUAUGCCUCAGCUUUUCCUGAUACAAGAGAAACCAAGAGAGUUAGUUAAAGGGGGUACAGCCCCUUUAAACCAAGAUACAACUUUUCUAGUUGGGUAAAGAUCAUAAUUGCCCAAGGUAAAAUGUUUUAGUGGGCCUAAAAGCAGCCACCUAAAAGAAAGCGUUAAAGCUCAGACAUUCCCCACAACCUUCAAUCCCGAUAACCUAUCUUAUCCCCCUAAUCCUACCAGGCCACCUCAUGCAAACAUGAGGGCGAUCCUGCUAAUAUGAGUAAUAAGAGAGCACACCUCUCUCCCUGCACAUGUGUAAAUCGGAACGGACCCCCCACCGAACAUUACCGGCCCCAAACAAAGAGGGCACUGAACAACAAACCAAACAACCAGAAAACCACCCAGCCUCAUACCGUUGACCCUACACCGGCGUGCUUACAAGGAAAGACCAAAAGAAAAAGAAGGAACUCGGCAAACACAAGCCUCGCCUGUUUACCAAAAACAUCGCCUCUUGCAAAACCAAGGAAUAAGAGGUCCCGCCUGCCCUGUGACAAAUUGUUUAACGGCCGCGGUAUUUUGACCGUGCAAAGGUAGCGCAAUCACUUGACUUUUAAAUGAAGACCUGUAUGAACGGCAUAACGAGGGCUUAGCUGUCUCCUUUUUCAAGUCAAUGAAAUUGAUCUUCCCGUGCAGAAGCGGGAAUAAGACCAUAAGACGAGAAGACCCUAUGGAGCUUUAGACACCAAAGCAGAUCUUGUUACACACCUCAUAAACAAAUGAACCAAACCAAAAGAAUCCUGCCCUAAUGUCUUUGGUUGGGGCGACCGCGGAGAAACAAACAACCCCCACGUGGACUAAGAACAUCCUUCUUACAACCAAGAGCUACAGCUCUAAUUAACAGAACUUCUGACCAUAAGAUCCGGCAACGCCGAUCAACGGACCGAGUUACCCUAGGGAUAACAGCGCAAUCCCCUUUUAGAGUCCAUAUCGACAAGGGGGUUUACGACCUCGAUGUUGGAUCAGGACAUCCUAAUGGUGCAGCCGCUAUUAAGGGUUCGUUUGUUCAACGAUUAAAGUCCU